GUACACACUUCCACAGCACAUACACUAAAAUUGAAUGAUACAGAGAUUAACAUGGCCCCUGCACAAAGAUGUCAUGCAAAUUCAUGAAACGUUCAUUAUUUUC
Small nuclear RNA from Mastomys coucha (southern multimammate mouse), 103 nucleotides. Lineage: Eukaryota; Metazoa; Chordata; Mammalia; Rodentia; Muridae. The record is from RefSeq and is a predicted model, not a curated record.